Molecule: long non-coding RNA, 265 nt
Filed under: Dasypus novemcinctus (nine-banded armadillo)
Lineage: Eukaryota; Metazoa; Chordata; Mammalia; Cingulata; Dasypodidae
Description: lncRNA (ENSDNOG00000050123.1)
Source: RNAcentral
CCUCUCCCAAUCCCCCGCCCUCUUCCUUCGCGUCCCCUCCCGCGCGGGCCGGCACGGAGCUGAAGUCCCGCUCUGGGCCUAGGCUGGCGCCGGCCAGUUCUCCCGAAGCUCGGAAACCACAUUUCCUACAAUCCCACUCGGCAGUCGCGGGGGCGAGACGCGAAGUCCCGUACAGAGCAUGCGCGUCCCUUCUCGUCGACUACUGCCACCCACCGGCCGAGGAGAGGGCGAAGGAAGUGCUAAAAACCAUCAACCGAAUCCACCA